GACGAACGCUGGCGGCGUGCUUAACACAUGCAAGUCGAGCGGAAAGGCCCUUCGGGGUACUCGAGCGGCGAACGGGUGAGUAACACGUGAGUAAUCUGCCCUUGGCUUUGGGAUAACUACCGGAAACGGUGGCUAAUACCGGAUACGACAACCGUCUGCAUGGGCUGGUUGUGGAAAGUUUUUUCGGCCAGGGAUGUGCUCGCGGCCUAUCAGCUUGUUGGUGGGGUAAUGGCCUACCAAGGCUUCGACGGGUAGCCGGCCUGAGAGGGUGACCGGCCACACUGGGACUGAGACACGGCCCAGACUCCUACGGGAGGCAGCAGUGGGGAAUAUUGGACAAUGGGCGGAAGCCUGAUCCAGCAACGCCGCGUGAGGGAUGACGGCCUUCGGGUUGUAAACCUCUUUCAGUACCGACGAAGCGCCGAUGAUGGUGGUGACGGGAGGUACAGAAGAAGCACCGGCCAACUACGU
This 471-nucleotide ribosomal RNA is filed under the name uncultured bacterium. RNAcentral describes it as "partial 16S ribosomal RNA". It matches the Rfam family "Bacterial small subunit ribosomal RNA", at positions 28 to 506 of the family's 1533-position model. The record is from RNAcentral.